CCUACGGGUGGCUGCAGUGAGGAAUAUUGGUCAAUGGGCUUACGCCUGAACCAGCCAAGUCGCGUGAGGGAAGACUGCCCUAUGGGUUGUAAACCUCUUUUGUCAGGGAGCAAAGGGCGCCACGUGUGGCGCUUUGCGUGUACCUGAAGGAAAAGCAUCGGCUAACUCCGUGCCAGCAGCCGCGGUAAUACGGAGGAUGCGAGCGUUAUCCGGAUUUAUUGGGUUUAAAGGGUGCGCAGGCGGAAUGUCAAGUCAGCGGUAAAAUUUCGGGGCUCAACCCCGUCGUGCCGUUGAAACUGGCGGUCUUGAGUGAGCGAGAAGUAGGCGGAAUGCGUGGUGUAGCGGUGAAAUGCAUAGAUAUCACGCAGAACUCCGAUUGCGAAGGCAGCAUACCGGCGCGCAACUGACGCUCAUGCACGAAAGCGUGGGUAUCGAACAGGAUUAGAUACCCCUGUAGUC
This 459-nucleotide ribosomal RNA is filed under the name uncultured bacterium. Its description in RNAcentral is "partial 16S ribosomal RNA". It matches the Rfam family "Bacterial small subunit ribosomal RNA", at positions 338 to 795 of the family's 1533-position model. The record is from RNAcentral.